AACGAACGCUGGCGGCAUGCCUAACACAUGCAAGUCGAACGAGACCUUCGGGUCUAGUGGCGCACGGGUGCGUAACGCGUGGGAACCUGCCCUUAGGUUCGGAAUAACUCCCCGAAAGGGGUGCUAAUACCGGAUAAUGUCUUCGGACCAAAGAUUUAUCGCCUUUGGAUGGGCCCGCGUUGGAUUAGCUAGUUGGUAGGGUAAAAGCCUACCAAGGCGACGAUCCAUAGCUGGUCUGAGAGGAUGAUCAGCCACACUGGGACUGAGACACGGCCCAGACUCCUACGGGAGGCAGCAGUGGGGAAUAUUGGACAAUGGGCGAAAGCCUGAUCCAGCAAUGCCGCGUGAGUGAUGAAGGCCUUAGGGUUGUAAAGCUCUUUUACCCGGGAUGAUAAUGACAGGACCGGGAGAAGAAACCCCGGCUAACUCCGG
Molecule: ribosomal RNA, 432 nt
Filed under: uncultured bacterium
Lineage: Bacteria
Description: partial 16S ribosomal RNA
Rfam family: Bacterial small subunit ribosomal RNA
Source: RNAcentral